Molecule: long non-coding RNA, 6367 nt
Filed under: Sus scrofa (pig)
Lineage: Eukaryota; Metazoa; Chordata; Mammalia; Artiodactyla; Suidae
Description: lncRNA (ENSSSCG00000053675.1)
Source: RNAcentral
CAUUUUCUAUAUUAUGCUUCUGUUUGACAUUGUAUUUGGACAAAGGCCUUGGUAGCUAAAUAAGUUUGUAAAGGCACUAGUGUUAGCUGUCUUUAGGAUCAGAUCUGAUCUCUUUAAACUUCAAAUCCUCCACUUUUUGAUCUCAACUUUCACUCAUGUUUUCUACAGCUUCUCCUCUACAUGAGCCCUUUGCCUCAGUCAGGAUGAUUUGUUCAUUGAACUCUGUUAUGGGUCAAGCUGUGUCCACUCAAAAAUUUUAUGCUGCAAUACUAACAUCAAUACUUCAGAAAGUGAUCUUAUUUGGAAAGAGGUUGGUUGUAGAUCUAACCAGUUAAGAUUAGGUAAUACUGGAGUGGGGUGGGCCCUUAAUAUGACCGGUGUACUUACAGAAAGGAGGCAUUUGGAUAUAGCCUGCAAACAGAGAGAAUGCCGUGAGGGGGUGAAGGCAGCAAUCAGGUGGAUACAGCAGAAACCAAGGGUUUCCAGCGAUAUCAGCAAACCACCAGAAGCUACAUGACAACCAUGGAACAAAUUUCUCACAGCCCUUAGAAAGAACCAAUUAUGAUGAUGCCUUGAUUUGAUAUUCUAGCCACCUAACUAUGAGAUAACAAACUUUGUUGUUUAAGACACCCAGUUUGUGGUACUUUUUUUCUGGCAGCUCUAGAAAACGAAUAUAGUCUCUAAACAUGCUAAGUGCAUCUUCACCUCUACAUGUUUGUUCUUCCUGCAAUGCAAAUCAUUAGAGUUUGCUUCCCCCUUUAAGAACUAGCCCUAGUUCUGCAAACUUCCUAAACUGUCUUUUAGCUGCUUUAAAUGUGGGCAAACUUUUUUUCAAGUGAUCAAAUUUUUUAAAUUGAAAUAUGGUUAAUUUAAAAUACUUUUUUAGUUUCAAGUGUACAACACAGUAAUAUUUUGUAUAUAUAUAAUUAUAUCUAUAUUAUUUUCCAGAUUCUUUUCCACUACAGGUUAUUACGAGAUAUUGAGCAUAGUUCCCUGUGCUAUACAGGAGGUCCAUAUUGUUUACAUUUUAUAUAUAGUAGUGUGUAUAUGUUAAUCCCAAGCUCUUAAUUUUUUUGAAAGACCUUAAAGCAUUUUAUUUAUUAUUUAUUUAUUUAGGCAUAAAGCCAAACUGGAGUGCCUUUGUGGCCAUUCUGAUCAACUUCAGAUAUCUAUGCUAGCUGGGAGUGUAUUAAUUGACUUUGGGGACACACAAAGAUAAGGGUUACGUAAAGAUAAAACAAUAGGUAUUAUCAACAAGUGUAGACAAACCACUUUCUAAUAUAACAAACAAUCAAUUUCAACUCUCUUAGUAUGAACUGGGAAUCAUUGAGCUUUUCUGUUUUCGCAUGAAUUUGAAAGGCUACUAUUUUGGUGGUAUGUAUCUUGCUUUGUUUACAGAUUAUUUUUGUUGUGCUAGUGCAAAAGGACCUAAUUAUAAUUGACACACUUCACGAAGCCCAUGCAUCCUGACAGCAUGUUCAGAUUAUUCAAGAGCACUUCAAGAAUCCUUUCUUUAAUCACCAAAAUGUGUUUAGUACCCUUCUUAAGGUCUCCAAUGACCUGAAUUUCCAAAUCUAAAAUUUUGUUCACUGCUUUUCCGACCAAUACUUGUAAAGAAAUCAGCAUUGUUAACAGCUCGCUACAUCUCAAAUUGUCUCUUUUGACCUUUUUCUCUCCUUUAUUUCCUGGUGUUUCUCCCAAUUUGUCUAAGCCUUCCUUUCACUUGUCUUCUGUGGGUCUCUCCUGCAUCAUCUACAGUCCCACCCAUUCUCAAGAAUGCAGUUACCAAAUGAAUGCUGAUGCUUCCCAAGUCCCAAGUACCUCUUGUUCCAAAUUUGCCUCAGAAAUACAUUUAUAACAGAUUCUUGGUAUAUAUGCAUGCAAUUUGGUUCAUCAUAAGUACUGUCUUUUCAGUGGCAAAGUAAGCUAUUUUGCAUGUACAGUGGCCCCUGGGUACCAAUACCACCUGACUCUAAGAUCCAGAUUCAGCUAAACUGGCUGGGUUUUGGUACUGCUAAUACAUAAUUAUCCAAAAUUAUUUCUCACUAAGUCAAAAGGCCACUACCACAGAAAAACGAUUCUAAACCAAAACAUUAUUUGAUAUAAAAAUCAUGACUUUUGCCAUAGUUCAUGAAAAUUAAAAAAAAGUUUUUUAAAAAAGUCUCCCCUCCUUUCACGGCAUGACUUUUCUGCUAUAUUCACUUACAAACAAUAUUGCUGAAAAUUAGUUUAAAAUUGGUGCAUUUAAAAAUGUACUUUGAUUUGGUUUUGGAUUUUAAUAAGGAUAUCAAAUACUUUCAAUGGCUUUCCAUUACUCUUGUAUAAAUUUUAAUCUUUUUAGGACUUGUGGCCUUACACAAACUGAGCCAAAUCUACCUUUUCAACUCUUUCUCUUCUACCAGGUAAUAAAAUUUACAUUCCAACUGAGCCAGUUUUUCAGCACUCACUCAUACAUUUGAGGUUUUUACCUCAGUGUCUAGAGUUGUUUUCAAAAAUAUUUUUUUCCAUAUAAAAUAACAUCUCUCCCUUCUGUUUCUAUCAUCAAAAAUCUUGCCUAUCCUUAUCACGAAGCCCAUUUUUCAUCAAUCUUUCCACAUUAACAAAGGUCAGAUUUAGUUUUUUCCUCUAUGUCUUUCUUUCUUUAUCUUUUUCUUUCUUUGUUUCUUUCUUUCUUUUUUUUUGUUCACCCCUGCGGCACAUGGAAAUUCCCAGGCCAGAGCUAGAACCUGAGCCACCACAGAGACAAUUCCAGAUCCUUAACCCGACACACUGCAGUGGGAACUCCAGAUUUACCUUCUCUUUACAGUACUGAUAACAGUAUAUUUUUCUCUACAGUUGGUUGAAAAUAAAUAUUUCCUACUUAGCUGUAAGUUUCUUUGUGGCCCAGUAUCAAUAGGUACCUGCUAUUACCAAAUUAAAUGCACAACACAAUCACUGAAAUAUUUGCAGAACUAUAUUGUUUCGGUUGCAAAGAUCUGUCUUCUGGGUGGACACAGUUAAAGAAUAAAAAAACAGAGAAAAUAUUAAGUGAUGAUAAAUAAAAUCUCAUCCAGUAAAUCUUUUUGGAAUUGACAGAAAUAGUGCAAGUAAUAAUACAUCUGAACAAGAAAAAGUAUUAUACUGAAGACAAAACUGAAAAAAAAAAAAAAAGGAUCUACACAAAGCAGAUACAUCAUCCCUUUGGAGCCAAAUCAGACUUUUAGGUAGGCAGAAAGCUGGAAAUGGAAAUUGAAGUGGUCUGGGAAACAAGACUCCCAGACCUUCCUUUACAAAGAACAGUACAAAGUAGGUCAGCACUGCUUAGAGAAGUGGUGAGAGCACAGAACAUUCAGAAAAGAAAGGAAAGAAUAGAUCCCUUAAAGCUCUAUAAGCUAGCAUCAAAUGCAAGAAAAAGGAAGUUAGAGGUGAUAGUAAUGUCAAGUGGCACAAAACAAGAACAAGAAUUGCGUUUAUUGGAGGUUGGGCUAUAGAGGGGGUCACAGAAGACUUGCUGUGCUAUUUGGGAGGGAAAAAAAGAGUGAGAAUAAAGCAAAUCUCUAAGAAAAACAAUUGCUGUGUUUUCAUUUUGGUCAUCUGGUUUUGGUAUCUUAUAGUGUUUAAAGAGUCAAAGCUCUGCGGCAAAAGAUAACUGGGCCCAUCUCCAAGUUCUGUCCCUUGGGAGCUAGAUGGCCUAGCUUAAGUUGCUUAUGCAUCAAGUUUAUUCCCUAGAAUAGGGACAAUAGUGGUACUUAAUUCAGAGCAUCUUUGAAAGAUGAAAUAAGAUACAACAUUUAAACAUUCAGCAUAAAGCCUGUAUGAUGAAGUGCUCAAUAAAUAUUAGCUAUUAUUUUCAACCUCUAAAAACAUGCCAUGUUUCCAAGACUCUAGGAAGGCUUUCCUGCUCCCAAAUUCAGGGCUGACUCCCAAAUACUAAGGUUGUCAUUAUAUAUUAAACACAUCCCAUUCGUUUACAACUCUCUAUGAAGAAGGGUGUGAUAUGUUAGUCAUUUUCUUCAUUCCUCAGUAUCUAUCAUCAUUGAAUACCCAACAUAUAACUGAAUAGAAGUAUUUAUGUCAGGGAGAGGUUACGCGGGGAAAAGUAGAAAGGAACACGACGACACUGGGAGGAAUGGAGAUGUAUUCCUGCACACUUUGGUAAUGCUGGCUUUAGUAUGCAGGGAAGUACACCUGAGCAACAGCCUUCUCAUUCCUGCCUUGUGGGAGAUAUUCACAUGGUUCAUGUAACCUGAAAACACAGGUAAUUAUAAAAUCAGAAAUACACUGAAACAACAAAGACGGUAUUUAAAAAUGAGAGAUGAGGAAGUAAGAUUCUGCUGCAUACUGUGCUGGCACCUCAUCAACUACACACUAUAAUAAUAAAAGACUGAACAAAAUAAAAAAAAAAAAAAACUACUGAGGCAGUGACCAUUACUGACAAUAUUUAUGUAAGUGAUCAGUACUUAACACUGAUAAAGCUUAUUUUUUUUUCCGUACUUGUAGCAUGUAGAAGUUCCCAGGCCAGGAUCUGAAUCCAUGCCACAGUAGUAACCCAGGCACUGCAGUGACCAUGCCAGACCCUUAGCCCACUACACCACAAGGGAAUUCCUGUAAUGAUUAUUAAGGCAUUUAUAAUUUUUUGUAUUUUUAUGAGUUAUUGAACUAAAGAACUAUUCUGUACAUAAAGGAAUGGAAAUUCCGUGAGAUUUUUCAGGAAUUAAAAGUUCCCGCUACACUAUGUUGUUUAUGCCCCACUCCAUUCUAAUGUAUCAGUGACCAAUGCUAUGGCUAAAAGUUAUCCCAGCUUCUCAUAAUUUUUCAUGCAGACUCAAUUUGCACUGAAUUAUUCUUAGACAAGAUUUAUGAAAAAUCUUUUAAAAAUAUGUAUGCUUCAUUAUAUAUUACUCUCUUAAAAACAAUGAUUUAUUUUAUUCUAGCAAACCCUUAUUUGUCAUAUGAUGAGCACUAUGUUAAGCAUGGGAAUGAGAAGAAUCAAUUGUACGAGACGGAAACAAGCUAUUUUCAUAGCUAGAUACAGAGUCCCUCUUUAGAAGAUAGUCACCUGUGGUGAAAAAAAAAGGUUCUAAGUCUACUUGGAGUAGAAGUUAAGACCUCAGUGGAUUCACAGCAUGAAUCACUCGACACAGCUAUGCCCAAAAUAAAUGGAAUGAUUUAUUGGUUGAUUUAGAGAGGAAUCGUGUGUAUGGGGAGAUACCUGAGUAAGAAAUAGGGUUGUUGGAAGCCCACACUGGCAGGAGUUUGUAGUAAGCCAUGCUCCUGCCUCUUAAGUUUCGAGAGAAAGAGAUUACAUAGAGAAUAUUCUGACAAGUGAGCCAGGUGCAUGGGGGGCCAGACCUCAGACUGUGGGCACCCACUAAGAUGGCCUCCAAUGAUCCCUUUCUGCUUGUGUUCUUGCCCUUGUGAAAGUCCCUUGCACAGUGGUCUCUGUGACCCAUAAAGUACAAAAGAAGUAACAUUAAGUUACUUCUAAGAUUAGCUAAUGAAAGCCUUUGGCUUCUGUCUUUGGCAUUUUCUCUCUUAUAUUAAUCGCUCUAAAGGUGCUGCCAUGGCCUGGGGACCCCCAGGCUGCCCAGGAAGAAAUCCAUGUGGCCAAGAAUUGAUGUCUCCAGGACUUAACUAACAGGAGGCCUUCAUAGCAGCUGUGUACCACGGUCGGUCAAGUUGAUAAACUGGAACAUGGAAGGUAUAAGAAAAUGGGUGGGAAAGAGCUGGAUCACCAAAGGGAUUGGUGCGAAUGUCUAGUUGACUCAGAGAACUGAUAAAGGCUCUCACAGCUAUAAGAGAGACUAAGGACAUGUGAAGAAUGACAGUUAACUGGAAGAGUACAGAAAGUAUGGUGAAUAUAGUCUGAAAGCUAAAAACUGAUAUUAUAUCUAACACCUAUCUCUGAGGGUCAGAGCAUCCCUUAUUGACAUAUGGUUUCAGAAACUUCAGGGCAGAUACAUAAAUUACUACAACACAAGAAUUAAACAUAAAAAAAGAAUUAAAUAUACGAGUACACAUGUACACUGUAUAUCAGUAUAUAAAAAAGUGCAUAAAUAGCAUAGAUCACUUAAAAUAACAUAAACUCAUAUAAAGUAUAAUGCAGAAUAAUUAGUAUAGGAUAUUGCAUGAAAAAUAACUAUCAUAAACCUGAUAUAAUAAAAAUAAAUGAUAUGUAAAUAGAAAUACACGUAAUACAUUCACAAUAGUAAUAAAGUUACUAUUUAAAAUAUAUUUUAAAUAUACUUUAUGCUUUAAAAUACAUACCUAUUUUAAAAUAUUUAUACAAAGAAUGCUCAAAUUUCAGAAAAAAGUCUGAUAAAUGUUAAGCUAAAUUUUAGUUGAAAAAUUAGUUAUAGAAAAUUAGCAUUUGUAUAAUCACUGUUCU